RNAcentral lists this ribosomal RNA (707 nucleotides) under uncultured apostome ciliate. RNAcentral describes it as "bacterial SSU rRNA". It matches the Rfam family "Eukaryotic small subunit ribosomal RNA", at positions 452 to 1185 of the family's 1831-position model. The record is from RNAcentral. Lineage: Eukaryota; Ciliophora; Oligohymenophorea; Apostomatida.
UGAUUCAGGGAGGUAGUGACAAGAAAUAACAACUUACGCCCUUUGGGUUGUAGGAUUGUAAUGAGGCUAAUGUAAAAUACUAGCCGAGGAACAAUUGGAGGGCAAGUCUGGUGCCAGCAGCCGCGGUAAUUCCAGCUCCAAUAGCGUAUAUUAAAGUUGUUGCAGUUAAAAAGCUCGUAGUUGAAUUUCUAGCUAUAAAUCAUGUGGCUUUUGUCCGUGUUUUAUAGUUAUCCGACAUUGAACUUAGUUCGGUAUUUAGUUAUCGGCUAAGCGAACUGUCAUUUUACUUUGAAAAAAUUAGAGUGUUUCAGGCAGGCAAUGGCCCGAAUAUCUUAGCAUGGAAUAAUGGAAUAGGACUCGUGUUCAUUUUAUUGGUUAUUGAACUAGAGUAAUGAUUAAAAGGGACAGUUGGGGGCAUUAGUAUUUAGUUGUCAGAGGUGAAAUUCUUGGAUUUAUUAAAGACUAACUUAUGCGAAAGCAUUUGCCAAGGAUGUUUUCAUUAAUCAAGAACGAAAGUUAGGGGAUCAAAGACGAUCAGAUACCGUCCUAGUCUUAACUAUAAACUAUACCGACUCAGGAUUGGUAGAAUAAACGUGUUCUAUCAGCACUGUAUGAGAAAUUAAAGUCUUUGGGUUCUGGGGGGAGUAUAGUCGCAAGGCUGAAACUUAAAGGAAUUGACGGAAGGGCACCACCAGGAGUGGAACCUG